This 424-nucleotide ribosomal RNA is filed under the name uncultured prokaryote. Its description in RNAcentral is "bacterial SSU rRNA". It matches the Rfam family "Bacterial small subunit ribosomal RNA", at positions 355 to 796 of the family's 1533-position model. The record is from RNAcentral.
UGGGGAAUAUUGGGCAAUGGGCGCAAGCCUGAUCCAGCCAUGCCGCGUGGGUGAAGGAGGCCUUAGGGUUGUAAACCCCUUUCACCGGUGACGAUGAUGACGGUAGCCGGAGAAGAAGCCCCGGCUAACUCCGUGCCAGCAGCCGCGGUAAUACGGGGGGUGCAAGCGUUAAUCGGAAUUACUGGGCGUAAAGCGCGCGUAGGCGGCUUAGUAAGUCGGAUGUGAAAGCCCCGGGCUUAACCUGGGAAUUGCAUUCGAUACUGCUGAGCUAGAGUAUGGUAGAGGGAAGUGGAAUUUCCGGUGUAGCGGUGAAAUGCGUAGAUAUCGGAAGGAACACCAGUGGCGAAGGCGACUUCCUGGGCCAAUACUGACGCUGAGGUGCGAAAGCGUGGGGAGCAAACAGGAUUAGAUACCCCGGUAGUCC